This 478-nucleotide ribosomal RNA is filed under the name uncultured bacterium. RNAcentral's name for it is "partial 16S ribosomal RNA". It matches the Rfam family "Bacterial small subunit ribosomal RNA", at positions 28 to 507 of the family's 1533-position model. The record is from RNAcentral.
GAUGAACGCUGGCGGCGUGCUUAACACAUGCAAGUCGAACGAGAAGUGGAGACGGACACCUUCGGGCGGAAGACUUUACUUCGAGUGGCGGACGGGUGAGUAACGCGUGGGUAACCUGCCUCAUACAGGGGGAUAACAGUUGGAAACGACUGUUAAUACCGCAUAAGACCACAGCACCGCAUGGUGCGGGGGUAAAAACUCCGGUGGUAUGAGAUGGACCCGCGUUCGAUUAGCCAGUUGGCGGGGUAACGGCCCACCAAAGCGACGAUCGAUAGCCGAUCUGAGAGGAUGACCGGCCACAUUGGGGCUGAGACACGGCCCAAACUCCUACGGGAGGCAGCAGUGGGGAAUAUUGCACAAUGGGGGAAACCCUGAUGCAGCGACGCCGCGUGAGUGAAGAAGUAUUUCGGUAUGUAAAGCUCUAUCAGCAGGGAAGAAAAUGACAGUACCUGAGUAAGAAGCCCCGGCUAACUACGUG